AUGCUCACUUCAGCAGCACAUAUACUAAAAUUGGAACAAUACAGAGAAGAUUUGCAUGGCCCCUGCGCAAGGAUGACAUGCAAAUUUGUAAAGCUUUCCAUAUUAAA
This 107-nucleotide small nuclear RNA is filed under the name Octodon degus (degu). The record is from RNAcentral. Lineage: Eukaryota; Metazoa; Chordata; Mammalia; Rodentia; Octodontidae.